UCCAACUUGAGAGUUUGAUCCUGGCUCAGAGCGAACGCUGGCGGCAGGCUUAACACAUGCAAGUCGAGCGCCCCGCAAGGGGAGCGGCAGACGGGAGAGUAACACGUGGGAACGUGCCCUUUGGUCUGGAAUAACUCAGGGAAACUUGAGCUAAUGCCGGAUACGCCCUUCGGGGGAAAGAUUUAUCGCCAUUGGAGCGGCCCGCGUCUGAUUAGCUAGUUGGUGAGGUAAUGGCUCACCAAGGCGACGAUCAGUAGCUGGUCUGAGAGGAUGACCAGCCUCAUUGGGACUGAGACACGGCCCAAACUCCUACGGGAGGCAGCAGUGGGGAAUAUUGGACAAUGGGCGCAAG
This 352-nucleotide ribosomal RNA is filed under the name Rhizobiales bacterium 64-17. RNAcentral's name for it is "bacterial SSU rRNA". It matches the Rfam family "Bacterial small subunit ribosomal RNA", at positions 1 to 381 of the family's 1533-position model. Lineage: Bacteria; Pseudomonadati; Pseudomonadota; Alphaproteobacteria; Hyphomicrobiales. The record is from RNAcentral.